AGAGUUUGAUCCUGGCUCAGAACGAACGCUGGCGGCAGGCCUAACACAUGCAAGUCGAACGAUAAGCCACCUUCGGGUGGUGGACAGUGGCAGACGGGUGAGUAACGCGUGGGAACGUGCCUUUCGGUUCGGAAUAACCCAGGGAAACUUGGGCUAAUACCGGAUACGCCCUUCGGGGGAAAGAUUCAUUGCCGAAAGAUCGGCCCGCGUCGGAUUAGCUAGUUGGUGGGGUAAUGGCCCACCAAGGCGACGAUCCGUAGCUGGUCUGAGAGGAUGACCAGCCACACUGGGACUGAGACACGGCCCAGACUCCUACGGGAGGCAGCAGUGGGGAAUAUUGGACAAUGGGCGCAAGCCUGAUCCAGCCAUGCCGCGUGGGUGAAGAAGGCCUUAGGGUUGUAAACCCCUUUCAGCGGGGAAGAUAAUGACGUACCCGCAGAAGA
RNAcentral lists this ribosomal RNA (443 nucleotides) under uncultured Microvirga sp. RNAcentral describes it as "bacterial SSU rRNA". It matches the Rfam family "Bacterial small subunit ribosomal RNA", at positions 8 to 488 of the family's 1533-position model. Lineage: Bacteria; Pseudomonadati; Pseudomonadota; Alphaproteobacteria; Hyphomicrobiales; Methylobacteriaceae. The record is from RNAcentral.